CACAUAUUAAAAGGUUUCCACUAUGGAUAUGAGAUUGUCAGAUGAAGUAUCAAGUUUUAAUGUGUUAUGGCAAUUUUAUUUAGGCUAUAAGUAUAUAACAUGCAAAUAAAAGUUUUGUUUUAGUGCAAAGAAUAAAGCUAAUAAAAUAUCAGAUUACACAAAAUGCCUGUGUGAUCGAAAAGUCAAAGCCCUAAUACUGUACAAGAACAAUGGACUGUCCUGUUUCACCAUCCUGUACAUUGGUCUAUCACUUUUAAGUCUUCCAGUUUAUACUUGAG
Molecule: non-coding RNA, 278 nt
Organism: Pelobates cultripes (western spadefoot toad)
Lineage: Eukaryota; Metazoa; Chordata; Amphibia; Anura; Pelobatidae
Source: the annotation of a GenBank genome assembly